Molecule: ribosomal RNA, 484 nt
Filed under: uncultured soil bacterium
Lineage: Bacteria
Description: bacterial SSU rRNA
Rfam family: Bacterial small subunit ribosomal RNA
Source: RNAcentral
AGAUUGAACGCUGGCGGCAUGCCUUACACAUGCAAGUCGAACGGCAGCACGGGGGCAACCCUGGUGGCGAGUGGCGAACGGGUGAGUAAUAUAUCGGAACGUACCCUGGAGUGGGGGAUAACGCAGCGAAAGUUGCGCUAAUACCGCAUACGAUCUACGGAUGAAAGUGGGGGAUUCGCAAGAACCUCAUGCUCGUGGAGCGGCCGAUAUCUGAUUAGCUAGUUGGUAGGGUAAAGCCUACCAAGGCAUCGAUCAGUAGCUGGUCUGAGAGGACGACCAGCCACACUGGAACUGAGACACGGGUCCAGACUCCUACGGGAGGCAGCAGUGGGAAUUUUGGACAAUGGGGCAACCCUGAUCCAGCAAUGCCGCGUGAGUGAAGAAGCCUUCGGUGUAAGCUCUUUGUCAGGAAGAACGGUGGAGGCAAUACCCUCGCUAAUGACGGUACUAGAAGAAGUAAGCGCCGGCUAACUACGUGCCAGCA